GUAAUGUAAUAUCUCAGAAAAUAUAAUGAUAUUUAAUUGAGUAUAUUUUAUUAAAUAUGUGAUUAAGUGAGUAUUAGAGUAGGAUUAUACUACUUAAGCUAAUUACAAGUUAAUUGGUGAAAUAUGAUUAAAGAAACAAAUAAAGCGUAAUUUAUUAAUUACGGAGAUUUUUGGACUACGGGGGUGUCGUGGAUACCAUUUCCAAAAUAAAAUAUUGUCGGGUUCGACGACCGUGAAAACUCGAUGGAGUGAUCAAGAUGUCACGACGAUAUCAGAUGGAUUAAUUAGAAUUGGAAUUAUACCGAACUAGUAUAGAAUUUUAAGUUAUCGGUUUGGCAAGAUUAGUUAGAAUGACCAAAAUACUCCUAGGACCUAUUUUAGGCUAUUGUGUUUUUGAGGGGCAAAAUAGUCUUUUGUGGGAUUUAAAGUUUUGUCUUUUAUGCAUGUAACAUCUAGCUGAAAUAGAAAUUAAUUUGGGUUAUUUUCUUUAUUUGAAUUAAAUGAUAAAGUAGAAAUUAGAUGUAAAAACCUAAUUAAGUGAUAUUGACAUCAACCUCUUUCUCUUUCCAUCUCUCACGACAACCCUAAGAACCAGUUGGGCUAGGAGAAUUCAUUAAGCAAUCUUACAAUUUUUAGAAAAAACAAUUAAGGUUUAGGGAAUGUUCAAAGCUUGGAGGACCCGGGAUCGUCAAGCUUUGUUUCCAUUCAAGUUGGCUUGUACGCUUGAUUUCUGGACUGAGGUAAGAAAUAUUUAUGCGCCGCUAAGUAGUUAAAUAAGAAGCGUUUAUAAUCGUUAGUGUACCUCGAUUAAGAUCGAGUUUAAUAAUAUGAAUUAUUGUGACUCGAUUGUGAUCGAGAUGAUGAUGGACGAUUAUUAUCCUUUGUGACUCGAUUAUAAUCGAGGUAAUGAUGAGAAAUAAUUAUUGUUUUUUACUCGAUUAUGAUCGAGAGAAAGAUACAUUCAUUACUGUUAUUGUGAAUGAAUAAAGAUACAGUCAUUAACGUUAUUAGUAAUUACUCGUUGAAACAGUUAGGUUUUCUUACUUAUCGUUCGCUUUAUCAGGCAACGAUAGUAACAUACACAGCUCCUGGAUAAUGAGUGGUAAGAGUGCUUUAUGAAGCACUGGAAUUUUGUGAAUAUAGAGAUAUGUGAUUAGAAUGCUUUAUAAGGCACUAAGAUUAUGUGAAUAUCAGUUUAUUGUAAUGAUGAAGUUGUUGACUAUGAGUUGUUACGACUUUCUUAUAAUGUGUGGUAUAUGUGUUUGUAUAGACGCUAAAUUAUAUAUGCAUGCUGAAUAUAUUUUGAAUCAGGAGUAUGUAUAUUAUGUUGUGAUGUGAUUACUUACGUUUUCAAUACCUUCGAUCCUAUAGAUUUUCUUGCUGAGUCAUUGUGACUCACGAGUGCUUCGUGGUGCUGGUAAGGAGGAUAGGAGCUAUGUUCAGCCGUUAGUCAGAGGUCUCCCAGUAAUGUAGAUAAUCAGCUGUGGUGUCUUGGCUUCUGGGAAGUAGGAUCGAUCCUUUUUCUAUGUUUGAGAGUGUAACCUUACUUUCGUAAUAUCGGUUUUGUAACUAGUCAUAAAAGAAUUUUAUAAUUAGGGGAUCCCUGUAUUGUGACAGUAGUUUGUAUGAAAGUUUUAUUUUAAAUUUAAUCAAAGGUUUUAAAUUAAACCACACUUUUACCUAAA
This is a long non-coding RNA of Cannabis sativa, 1685 nucleotides long. RefSeq lists it as uncharacterized. Lineage: Eukaryota; Viridiplantae; Streptophyta; Magnoliopsida; Rosales; Cannabaceae. The record is from RefSeq and is a predicted model, not a curated record. The transcript has 2 exons.